UCGAAACCGGGUGGAACCACCAAAUAAUGAAGAGAGUCGUAUAGCGGCCCAAUACGCCACCCGAACGUUACGACUAGUACGGAGAAC
RNAcentral lists this transfer RNA (87 nucleotides) under unidentified. RNAcentral's name for it is "Shigella phage B2 tRNA-Gln". The record is from RNAcentral.